This is a non-coding RNA of Schistosoma margrebowiei, 46 nucleotides long. NCBI's taxonomy places the organism in Eukaryota, Metazoa, Platyhelminthes, Trematoda, Strigeidida, Schistosomatidae. The record is from Rfam.
GCACUGCUGAGGAGUCCCAUACCAGGACGAAACGGCCGUCCAGUGU